This 253-nucleotide ribosomal RNA is filed under the name uncultured bacterium. RNAcentral's name for it is "partial 16S ribosomal RNA". It matches the Rfam family "Bacterial small subunit ribosomal RNA", at positions 524 to 776 of the family's 1533-position model. The record is from RNAcentral.
UACGGAGGGUGCAAGCGUUAUCCGGAUUUACUGGGCGUAAAGCGCGUUCAGGCGGUUUGGCAAGUCGGGCAUGAAAUCUCUCGGCUCAACCGGGAGAGGUUGUCCGAUACUUCCAGACUUGAGGGCAGUAGAGGGUGGUGGAAUUCCGGGUGUAGUGGUGAAAUGCGUAGAUAUCCGGAGGAACACCAGUGGCGAAAGCGGCCACCUGGACUGCACCUGACGCUGACACGCGAAAGCUAGGGGAGCGAACGGG